RNAcentral lists this ribosomal RNA (451 nucleotides) under uncultured soil bacterium. Its description in RNAcentral is "bacterial SSU rRNA". It matches the Rfam family "Bacterial small subunit ribosomal RNA", at positions 946 to 1384 of the family's 1533-position model. The record is from RNAcentral.
GGAAUUCGAUUAACGCGAAGACCCUUACCCAGGCUUGAACUGCAGAGGACACUCUACGAAAGUAGACUUCCGCAAGGACCUCUGUAGAGGUGCUGCAUGGCUGUCGUCAGCUCGUGUCGUGAGAUGUUGGGUUAAGUCCCGCAACGAGCGCAACCCUUGUCUUCUGUUGCCAUCAGGUUAAGCUGGGCACUCUGAAGAGACUGCCGGUGACAAACCGGAGGAAGGUGGGGAUGACGUCAAGUCAGCAUGGCCUUUAUGUCUGGGGCCACACACGUGCUACAAUGGCAGGUACAAACCGUCGCGAGACCGCAAGGUGGAGCUAAUCGGAUAAAGCCUGUCUCAGUUCGGAUUGUCGGCUGCAACUCGCCGGCAUGAAGUUGGAAUCGCUAGUAAUCGCGGAUCAGCACGCCGCGGUGAAUACGUUCCCGGGCCUUGUCACACCGAAUCACUA